UACGAAGGGGGCGAGCGUUGCUCGGAAUUACUGGGCGUAAAGGGCGCGCAGGCGGCUCUGAAAGUCAGAUGUGAAAGCCCCGGGCUUAACCUGGGAAUUGCAUUUGAUACUCUGGAGCUUGAGUGUGGGAGAGGAGAGUGGAAUUCCCAGUGUAGAGGUGAAAUUCGUAGAUAUUGGGAAGAACACCGGUGGCGAAGGCGGCUCUCUGGACCACAACUGACGCUGAGGCGCGAAAGCGUGGGGAGCAAACAGG
RNAcentral lists this ribosomal RNA (253 nucleotides) under uncultured bacterium. RNAcentral describes it as "partial 16S ribosomal RNA". It matches the Rfam family "Bacterial small subunit ribosomal RNA", at positions 524 to 776 of the family's 1533-position model. The record is from RNAcentral.